UGGGGGAUAUUGCACAAUGGACGAAAGUCUGAUGCAGCGACGUCGUGUGGGGGAUGAAGGCCUUCGGGUUGUAAACUCCUUUCGCCCGCGGAAAAGGCAGGGUUUUGGCCUUGUUGAUGGUAGUGGGUAAAGAAGCGCCGGCUAACUACGUGCCAGCAGCCGCGGUAAUACGUAGGGCGCGAGCGUUGUCCGGAAUUAUUGGGCGUAAAGGGCUCGUAGGCGGUUUGUCGCGUCUAGCGUUUAAGGCUCGGGCUUAACCCGGGUUUGCGUUGGGUACGGGCAGGCUUGAGUGCAGUAGGGGUAACUGGAAUUCCUGGUGUAGCGGUGGAAUGCGAAGAUAUCAGGAGGGACAGCGGUGGCGAAGGCGGGUUACUGGGCCGUUACUGACGCUGAGGAGCGAGAGCGUGGGGAGCGAACAGG
This 420-nucleotide ribosomal RNA is filed under the name bacterium. RNAcentral's name for it is "partial 16S ribosomal RNA". It matches the Rfam family "Bacterial small subunit ribosomal RNA", at positions 355 to 776 of the family's 1533-position model. The record is from RNAcentral.